This 565-nucleotide ribosomal RNA is filed under the name uncultured bacterium. RNAcentral's name for it is "bacterial SSU rRNA". It matches the Rfam family "Bacterial small subunit ribosomal RNA", at positions 42 to 603 of the family's 1533-position model. The record is from RNAcentral.
GCGUGCCUAACACAUGCAAGUCGAGCGAGGGAUUUAUGACGGAUUCCUUCGGGAUGAAGACAUAAAUCACCUAGCGGCGGACGGGUGAGUAACGCGUGAGGAACCUACCUCCUACAAGGGGAUAGCCUCGGGAAACUGGGAUUAAUACCCUAUGACACUUAAGGAUCGCAUGAUCUUUAGGUUAAAGCGAUAUAGCGGUAGGAGAUGGCCUCGCGUCCCAUUAGCUAGUUGGUGAGGUAACGGCUUACCAAGGCGACGAUGGGUAGCCGGCCUGAGAGGGUGAACGGCCACACUGGAACUGAGACACGGUCCAGACUCCUACGGGAGGCAGCAGUGGGGAAUAUUGCACAAUGGGCGAAAGCCUGAUGCAGCGACGCCGCGUGAGCGAAGAAGGCCUUCGGGUCGUAAAGCUCUGUCCUAUGGGACGAUAAUGACGGUACCAUAGGAGGAAGCCCCGGCUAACUACGUGCCAGCAGCCGCGGUAAUACGUAGGGGGCGAGCGUUGUCCGGAAUUACUGGGCGUAAAGGGUACGUAGGCGGCUAGGUAAGUCAGAUGUGAAAUCCA